Molecule: long non-coding RNA, 1910 nt
Organism: Macaca mulatta (Rhesus monkey)
Lineage: Eukaryota; Metazoa; Chordata; Mammalia; Primates; Cercopithecidae
Source: Ensembl
UGUGCUUGUGUCUUUAUAGUAGCAUGAUUUAUCAUCCUUAGGGUAUAUACCCAGUAAUGGGAUUGCUGGGUCAAAUAGUAUUUCUAGUCUAGAUCCUUAAGGAAUUGCCACUGUCUUCCCCAAUGGUUGAAACCUAGCUAGCCUUUUUAUUUCCUGAAGGGACUAAAUCUCUUCAGGAAACAAGAGUGUUGUCCAGGCUGUUCUCAAAACGCUUGGCUCAAGAGAUUCUUCUGCCUCAGCCUCCCAAAGUACAGGGGUUACAGAUGUGAGCCACCACACCCAGCCCACAUGUAAUCUUAAUUGCAAUGUAGCAUCCAAAUAGACGCUGGUCCCGGUUUCUCCUUUAGGUCCCACCCCUAGUAUAUGCAGCAGAGACAGGGGCCCUGAUUGAAGUCCUUUCUUGCUUCUCUCCGGCACAGGUGGACGCUCCAGGACUCUCUGGGAAUGACAUCUGCCCCCCUGGCUUCUUCUGCCCCAAAGGAACAAGCUCUCCAGUGCCUUGUCCUCCUGGGUUUUACUCCUCCGUUCCAGGCCUGGGCAGCAAGGACCAGUGCCAACCAUGUCCCCCAGGGCGCUACUGCAGCCGGCCGGGGCUGACCAGCACCCUGGAGGCAGGGCUUUGCGAUGCAGGGUACAUCUGCCGAGAGGGCAGUGCUGUCCCCUCACCCUCCAAUGGAACCCAUGGAUACACAUGUCCCCCCUGGCUUCCAUUGUCCCCCAGGGGCCCACAGGGAGCUGCCGUGUGAGCCUGGCACCUUCAGCCCUCUGCCUGAGGCUGCCAUGUGCCUGCCCUGCCCAGAGGGCACCUACUGCCACCAGGCUGCCACCAUGGAGCCCACCAUCUGCCCCAAAGGUAACAUCCUCAGGCCACCUUGCCCUGGCUCUCCAGGGCAAAGAACAUUGGCAUCUCGCACCCCGGGCUCCCUGAGCUCAGGUCUGUCCAGAGUGCCAUGCUGGGUGUUGAGUGUCGCCUCACCCUGUGCUGCCCCUGCUGACCCACCUAUGAAAUGGGCUUAUCACGUGACAGAGGGAGGUCGUCGGGAGAAGGGUGUUGGGGGGCCCCAAUGUCUGGGGACUUGCCAGCCCCUGCCCUACACGGUCUGUGACAGGCACUGCUCAGCUGUCCCCGGCGUGUGGCUGCGCAGGGGUAAGGAAGGAACACACCGGACACGGCCAGGCAGCCUCCUGAACUGUACUCUCCUGUCCUGAGAGGCUGGGUGUUGGGGUCGGCUCCUCCCUGGCUGGAAGGCACUGCACCCCUGGGCAGACCAAACCCAUCUGCAAGUGGGACCAUGGUGCCUGGUGCCUGUGGACGCCCCAUCCCAGCAGGAACAUCCCCAGAGGGGACUGUGGCUGAUCUGGUUUGAGACUCCAGGUCACCUCUGGGGCACCUGGUGGUGCCUGUGGGGCUCCAGGGCAGUGCAGGGGUGACAGGGACACAUGGCCUCAUUUUCUCCAGGACAAGAAACUGUUUCCCUCUCAGCCCUGCAGAGCCAGACCACACCUGCCCUGGGCCCACCUCUCCCUAAGGAACAGCCUGUGCACACACAGACACAAACAUGUGCUCAUGUGCACACACUCAUGUACGCAGGCAUGCUCACAGACAUUCACAUUUCUCAAACUCACUGCGACAUCCACUUCACUCACACCAUUACACGCACACCCCGUCACACUCACACUCACUUGCACACACACUCCACUCACAUUUGCUCACAUUCCACUCACACUUGCUCACACACACACUCACUGUCACACCCACACCUCAGCUGCCCCGACACAGACUCCACCCCACUGGCCCGGAUUCUGGACCAGCAUCCCCUUCAGGCCCUCUGGCUGUGGCCUCUGCACCCUCAGGGCUGCACUAAUUUCUCUUCCAUAAAGGAUGGGAGGCUGUAGAGUGCCAGGCAGCC